AGCAGCCGCGGUAAUUCCAGCUCCAAUAGCGUAUAUUAAAGUUGUUGCAGUUAAAAAGCUCGUAGUUGAAUUUCGGGAUCUGUCCGUCGGUCGGGCUUCACGGUCCGCACUGGUGUGAUGGAUUCCUACCUUCUGAAUAACCAGUAUGUCAUUAAUUUGAUGUGCCGGGGAAGCAGAACCAUUACCUUGAAAAAAUUAGAGUGCUCAAAGCAGGCUUGCGCCUGAAUACAUUAGCAUGGAAUAAUAAAAUAGGACGGCAUGGUUCUAUUUUGUUGGUUUCUAGGAUCACCGUAAUGAUUAAUAGGGAUAGUUGGGGGCAUUAGUAUUCAAUUGUCAGAGGUGAAAUUCUUGGAUUUAUUGAAGACUAACUUCUGCGAAAGCAUUUGCCAAGGAUGUUUUCAUUAAUCAAGAACGAAAGUUAGGGGAUCGAAGACGAUCAGAUACCGUCGUAGUCUUAACCAUAAACUAUGCCGACUAGGGAUCGGACGAUGUUAAUUUUAUAAUGACUCG
RNAcentral lists this ribosomal RNA (510 nucleotides) under Acaulospora sp. Acau16. RNAcentral describes it as "SSU rRNA". It matches the Rfam family "Eukaryotic small subunit ribosomal RNA", at positions 569 to 1078 of the family's 1831-position model. Lineage: Eukaryota; Fungi; Glomeromycota; Glomeromycetes; Diversisporales; Acaulosporaceae. The record is from RNAcentral.